This 250-nucleotide ribosomal RNA is filed under the name uncultured bacterium. RNAcentral's name for it is "partial 16S ribosomal RNA". It matches the Rfam family "Bacterial small subunit ribosomal RNA", at positions 15 to 244 of the family's 1533-position model. The record is from RNAcentral.
GAUCCUGGCUCAGGACGAACGCUGGCGGCGUGCCUAACACAUGCAAGUCGAACGGAACUGUUUUGAAAGAUUUCUUCGGAAUGAAUUUGAUUUAGUUUAGUGGCGGACGGGUGAGUAACGCGUGAGUAACCUGCCUUCAAGAGGGGGGAUAACAUUCUGAAAAGGAUGCUAAUACCGCAUGAUAUAUCGGAACCACAUGGUUUUGAUAUCAAAGAUUUUAUCGCUUGAAGAUGGACUCGCGUCCGAUUAG